UACAGAGGUCUCAAGCGUUGUUCGGAUUCAUUGGGCGUAAAGGGUGCGUAGGUGGCGCUGUAAGUCGGGUGUGAAAUCCUGAGGCUUAACCUCGGAACUGCAUUCGAUACUGCCGUGCUUGAGGACUGGAGAGGAGACUGGAAUUUACGGUGUAGCGGUGAAAUGCGCAGAUAUCGGGAAGAACACCCGUGGCGAAGGCGGCUCUCUGGGACGGUACUGACGCUGAGACGCGAAAGCGUGGGGAGCGAACAGG
This 253-nucleotide ribosomal RNA is filed under the name uncultured bacterium. RNAcentral's name for it is "partial 16S ribosomal RNA". It matches the Rfam family "Bacterial small subunit ribosomal RNA", at positions 524 to 776 of the family's 1533-position model. The record is from RNAcentral.